AUCGGGGGAGAUGUUUGUCUGACCGUGUGGUCAGGACAAAGACAAAGGAAAAGAAGCAGGAACUUUGAGAUGCCUGUUUGGGUGUAGCUCUGUUGAAAGCAUAUUUGUUAAUGAGUCUAUGUGAAUGUGAUUUGUGCUGCAAACGGUCUGGAUUAGUGCAGAGAUUGUUUAGUUGUGUGCAAGAAUCUGUUUGUGAACAGUAUUAGCAAACUAAACGCUUAGCCUUGGCGAAGCCAACUAAUUAAUGACCUAAAUGCAAACAAUCACAACAAUACCUCAAUGAUAGCAUUAAAUCACAUACAACAAGUUAAACAGUCUUGCUUAGCCUGUAAAGCUGUGAUAAAGCAAUACCCAGUUGUUACUUUAUCGAUCCUUGAGUGGAUGGGAGAAAGAGUCACUUGGUGGUGUACUGCUUUGUUAGCCGGCACAAGCAGGCUGGGAAGAGCUGUGGUUCCAGCUGCAGUCUAUGCUGUGUCCUUGUUCCAAAGGUUCUGAUCAGUCGGAAGCCAGUUGCUCGGGGUCCUUGCAGAUUUCGACGCUGGGUGCUAACUCACUUCGUUUCUUGUUGCUGGAAAGCUAGUUGCAAACGUUGUGCUUGCAAGUCUAACCUCUCUGGUUCAGGUUUGCCUCAGCCUUGAGCAUGGGCAAGUCGUGGUCCAGGAAAAAGAGAGUCUGUUAGCAAUUAGCCCCACCUUUGAUGGUUCAGGGCAAGGAGCAAUGGCCUGAGCAUCUGGGCUGUUCCAGACCCAGCAGGAAAGAGGUGUGGGCUGCUCCCCAGUUCCAGAGUGAGAGCAGGACUGUUUGAAAGGAGCAGAACUUAGCUUAGAGUUUGGUGACAUCACAGAGGGGCAUGUCACUGUAACAGUACUGCCCAAUCAAGCUUGAUGAGUGGUGUCUCACUGAGGUGUGAGAUGACCUCCUGUGGAGAUGAGUGUCAAAGAGCUCUCUUUGUUCGAAGACAGAGAGCAUGCAGAGACGGAAAAGCCUGUCCAGUUUAGAUUCUAACAAAUGACAAAUCAUCUGUGGUCCUGUGAAUCCCAACACUAUCAUCACAAGAUGGCAGUAUGACUCUGUGUUAAAUGAGGGAUUAAACAUUUUAAAUUAUAACUCACUCAUACGAUGACCUACAAGAGUGGAAAAAAAAUAUUCAACUAAAAAACAAGGAUUAUGCACAGUUACAAUUUUAGAACAUGGAUAAAAUGUAUAGUUUACUUUCAGGAGACAUUUCAGGUUGGUUAACAAGAGAAACUCCACUCAGGAAUUCAUCCUGAAUGUACGACUCCCACAUCUGAUGGUCUUAUCUUAUUUUCACCAGGGUGAGAGUAAAACAUUUGAUCUUGGCACAUGGGGGUUGCGGCUCUGGUCAGCCAUGUUAAAGGGAAAAAGCAUCAAGACUACCAAAACCCACUCAACAGAAUGCCAGCAUCAGCACAUAUUUCAAAGCUGUCAUAGCAAGGCCAGAUAUUGCUCCAGCUUUGCGUCUACUGUAUGUGUAGACACAAAGGGAUUCCAUAUCAUAUUCCACACUACGUUUUUGUUAGAAUGCCUGUCUUAGGGCAAAGCACACUGGAGCAAGAGUGUCAUGAUAGUGUGCUAUGAUUGUCUAACAUUACUUAUAUUAAACAGGGUUCCUGCAGGUCCUUAAAAAGUCUUAAAAUGUCUGAAAUUAAAAUCCGGGAAAUUAAGGUCUUAAAUUGUCUUGAAUUUACCGUUAAUUUGCUGUAGGUAUUAAAUUUUCAGACAGUGCGUUUAAGGUUGAUGGGAAAGCACAGUGGCCCACCAUAAAACAUCUAAUAGUAUGUAUUUUUUUAUUAACUUAGUACAAAGACAGUGUUGUCAAUGAGAGACUCCGCUAUGAACAUCAGUUUAACGGUAUGUCAGCUACAGACGUUGACGUAAGACUGUGUGUCGCCAUUUUGUUGUUGUCAAGGUGAGCGGUCAAAAAAGACUUUUUCUUUAGGGACCAUGGGGCUCAAAGCCGUCGAGUCGCAUAAGAAAGGAGGAAAGCACCAGCAGUACAUGGCAGCAACGAGCCAUAGCGGGGACAGGCUAAUUCCUGUAUUGUUUGCAGCACGACCUAACGUUACAAGUAGACUUGCACUGAUUAAUUGGCAGUGCUCGGAAUCGGGCUGGUUUUCACGUGAUCGGCCAUGACCUGCGACCAGCCAGUCAGUCUAAACUAUACCGAUUUAAAACGCCGGUCAAAUUCCCGACGCGCCACAUGAUUGACAUCAUGUAAUAUCAGCAGCGCACACACACGCACAUGUGCAACUCACGGCUUGGGCGAUGUGAGGAAGGGGACCUCAGGGACACACUGGUUUGGGUAGGACAACUAUGGAGUAAAUGAUUCCGGCCAGAGAAUCAGGUUCGAGAGGAUACUUUAAUUUUCAAUGACAACAACAAACUGAAAAACACACAAAGUUGACAUGCUAACCAAAUUAAACUCACUCUACUGUAAGUGAAACACGGGCGGCUUCUCACCUUAAUCAUUGACGCACACACAUCAAAAGAGAGAAGGAGAAAGUUGUUAAUUGUCCGUGUUAAACUUAACUGUGGAGCUCUCACUGCUAAACUGUGCCGCUUGAAACUGACGAGGCGCGUGUCCACGUGCGGAAGAUGUGCGUGUCUGCGCGCUUACUGGCAGGCACGUCCUGAAGGCCUGUGUGAAUUUUCCACAGGCGAUAUUUUUACUUUUUGUCUAUUCAAGAAAUUACCUACAAAUGCUAUACACCAAGAAUUGUUUUAUUUAUCUAUGUUUUUAUUUAUGUAUGCCUUUUUUACUUAUUUAUUUUAAUACUGUACCUGAAGUUAUAUUUGAGCAAAAAGGAAAAUGUUUCUUAACCUGUGUCACUGUUUUUGUUUGUUUGUUUGAGAUGAUUAUUGAAAAGCUGGUUGAAUCUUGGUUAAAAUGUUCUAAUAAAGGAAAGAUAGAAAAUAUUGCAAUAUCUUGUGUGCUGUAAAGUGGUUUGAAAAAAAAUUUAAUCGGAAUCGGCCAUCCAAACACUCUGCAAAUCGGAAAUCGGUAUUGGCCCAAAAAAUUGUUAUCGGUGCAAGUCUAGUUACAAGUUCAGACUCCAUCACCACCUCCCAUUCGGCUAUGAGAAGCUUCAUUUCACUGCCAAAGACCCAAAAGGCAGAGGUACUGUGGGUUCUCCACACUGUGAUGAGGCACAAUUCAUUUAAAUCUAACAAGGACAUAAGUGGCGUCUUUGCUGCCAUGUUCUCCGUUUCGCAGGUUGCAAAGGCAUUCACCUGUGGUGAAAAUAAAACGGCAUAUGUCGCCAAAUAUGGCAUCACUUCAUUCAUCAAGAAGGAGCUUUCCUGCAGCGUUAGUGAGAAGCCAUAUGUUAUCAUGUUUGAUGAAAGCAUGAAUAAAUCGAGAAAGAGCAAACAAAUGGACCUUCAUUUGCGGUUUUGGAAUACUGAUGAUGAGACCGGCACACACCAUGUCAUCUCCCGCUACUAUGGGUCGGAGUUCAGGGGUCACUCAAGAGCCAAGGACAUGUUGGGACAUUUCAGUGAAGGUACAAAGGAGCUGAAUUUGAACAACAUGCUCUCACUGUCAAUGGAUGGGCCCAGUGUUAAUUGGAAGUUUGUUGAACUCUUACAAGAGGAACACAGAGAGCAGUUUGGUGGAGCCCAACUACAAAUAAUUGGAAGUUGUGGCCUUCACACAAUGCACAACUUGUUCAAGAAUGGCUUCGGGUGUGGCAAGUUGAGAAAGUCCUGAAAGCCCUGCACUACCUGUUUCAUUGUGCACCUGCAAGGAGGGAAGCCUUUGUGUUAGUGACCAAGUGUGAUACAUUUUCUCUGACAUUUUGUGGACAUCGUUGGCUGGAAAACCUUCCAGCAGUGGAGAGAGCCAUUGAAAUUUGGCCAUAUAUCGUCACCUAUGUGGAUCAGGUCAAAGCCAAGAAGCUCCCCAAUCCAAGGUCAUCGUCAUAUGACAACAUCGCAGAAGCUCAGAUGGAUCCCAUUAUCCUGGCAAAGUUGCACUUCUUCAUGAGUCUCUCAAGAAGUUUUCAACCUUUUCUCACCAAGUACCAGACAGAUGCCCCGAUGAUUCCCUUACCCAGCAGAGAUUUGGAGGAUCUAAUCAGGAGCCUUCUCAGACGCUUCAUAAAGCAAGACGUCCAGGUUGAUGUUUCCCCAGUAAAGCUGGUCAAGCUUGAUGUGACAGACCAAAGGCUUUGGGUCAGUCCAAAGCAAGUGGACAUUGGCAUGGGAGCCACAGCUGCCCUCAAGGGAAUGUCAGGCAGUCAGAGUGGUGGAAGUGAGCAUGAUGUGUUACUGUUCAUCCGAGACAGCCAGAGUGCUCUGUCACAAAUUUGUCACAGCAUUCUAUUAAAGUGCCCACUGAAGUACCCCACUGGCUGAAAUAUGAUGUGCCUGGACCCCCAAAAGAUGCGCACUGAACCAGACACGUGCCUGCAAAAAAAUGAAGGCCCUAAUCAUGAAAUUUGUGCAGGAUAAGAAGUUGUCAGGAGGAGUCACAGCAGGUGAUGAGAUUGCACAACAAUUUCAGAAGUUCCUCUUCAGUGAGGCCAGAGGAGAGGAAUUCAUGGCCUUCAGUGCGUUGGACGGAAAAUCACGAGUUGACAGCUUCCUGCAUAAGGCCAUGAAUGGAUAUGCAGAACUUUGGAGCUUUGUGGAAAAGCUGCUGCUUCUGUCCCAUGGACAAGCUACUGUGGAGCGUGGAUUCUCCAUAAACAAGGAGGUGGAGAUGUGCAAUAUGAACAAGGACACUAUAGUCUCACAGAGACUAAUCUGUGACUACGUGAGCAUGUGUGGUGGAGUGCUCAAAGUGCCACUAACUAAAGAGCUGCUAAAUGAGUGUACAACUGCACGCAAUCGGUACAGGAUCGACUUGGAAGAUGAGAGGAAGAAAAAGGAAAAGACAAAACAGAUGGACAAGAGAAAAAGGGCUGAAGAUGAGCUUGAAGAGCUAUGCAAGAAAAAAAGAACAAUCUCAAGUGUGUGCGAAACUCUAGAGAAGGAUGCAGAUAGCCUUGGCAGAGAAGGCUGAGAAUACAGCAGGGACCAAGAUGGCAGAACUCAUCACUAAAUCCAACUCGAUGAGAAAAAGAUGCAAGGACAAGAGAGGGGAGUUGGUGGACCUAGACCGUGAAAUUGAGAAGAGAGCGACAGAGCUACAUGUCUUGAGGAGAAUUUGGGA
Long non-coding RNA from Epinephelus moara (kelp grouper), 5176 nucleotides. RefSeq lists it as uncharacterized. The transcript is spliced from 5 exons. The record is from RefSeq and is a predicted model, not a curated record. Lineage: Eukaryota; Metazoa; Chordata; Actinopteri; Perciformes; Serranidae.